AUGAUGUACCCCACGACGACCCGCACGCCGGAGUUCCUCGGCCUGAGCAAGGACGCCGGCUUGUGGCCGAAAUCUAGCUACGGCAAAGGGAUCAUCAUCGGGGUGAUCGACUCCGGCAUCGAGUCGAGCCAUCCCUCGUUCGACGACGUCGGCAUGUCGCCGCCGCCCGCCAGGUGGAAGGGCACGUGCAAAGGCAUGGUCAGGCCCGUCCGGUGCAACAACAAGCUCAUUGGCGUCAGGUCCUUCGUGGACUACAACCCUGCCGAUGAGACCGGCCACGUCACGCACGUGGCGUCGAUUGCGGCUGGCAACUUCGUCGCCAACGCCUCGUCGUCCCACGGCCAGGCUGCCGGGACGGCCGCCGGCAUCGGCCCCGGCGCACACGUGGCCGUGUACAAGGCCUGCAGACCUAGUGGGUGCCUCCGUUCGAACGUAAUUCGUGCCAUUGACACGGCGGUGAGCGAUGGGGUCGACGUGAUCAACAUCUCCCUCGGCCGUAAACCAGGACUACCGCUGCACAGAGACGUUGUGGCCAUUGGCGCAUUCCGCGCGGUGGCCAAGGGCGUAGUCUUCGUGACGUCUGCUGGCAACGACGGCCCCGACCCAUCCACCGUCAAGAACGACGCGCCAUGGGAGAUCACGGUGGCCGCCGGUUCGGUGGACCGGAGGCUUGCCGCCGACCUUGUGCUGCAGCUGGGCGACGUGCUGGUGGAAGGAGAGGCGCUGGUGCAGGGGCCCAACUCGAUCGCCUACCAACCCCUCCACUACCCCGGCGAGGGUAACCUGUGCAAGAAGGUGAGCGCUGACCGCACGAGGGGCCAUAUUGUGAUCUGCGAUGAUGCCGGGGUUAACGUUGACGCCCAGGCCCGCAUCAUCAAAAAUCUCUACGACAAUGGCGCCGCUGACGUCCUGCUCAUCGGUGAGGAGAAAGCCGGUUUCUCCUUGGGCUUCAGGGAGUACGGCUCCUCCGUGGUGCAGGAGCCCGCCGUUGUCGGCCGCAAGCUCAAGGACUACAGCCAGCACCUGGAGUCCGCGGCGCAGGUGUUAUUCAAGGGCACGCAGCUCGGGGUCGGCCCGUCGCCCACGGUCGCCUUCUUCCUACGACCGAGGCCCGAGCCGCGGCAACCCACGCAUCUUGAAGCCCGACAUCCUGGCGCCUGGGCUCAACAUCCUCGCCGCCGCCACGGCGAGCCCAGACCAGGGGCCUUUCAGAUUCAAGUCCGGGACAUCGAUGGCAGCGCCACACAUCAGCGGCGUCGUCGCCCUUCUCAAGAGCGUGCACCCGGACUGGUCGCCGGCGGCCAUCAGGUCAGCCAUGAUCACCACGGCGGAUGA
Molecule: ribosomal RNA, 1335 nt
Filed under: Triticum aestivum (bread wheat)
Lineage: Eukaryota; Viridiplantae; Streptophyta; Magnoliopsida; Poales; Poaceae
Description: partial small subunit ribosomal RNA
Source: RNAcentral